This is a long non-coding RNA of Physeter macrocephalus (sperm whale), 941 nucleotides long. RefSeq lists it as uncharacterized. NCBI's taxonomy places the organism in Eukaryota, Metazoa, Chordata, Mammalia, Artiodactyla, Physeteridae. The record is from RefSeq and is a predicted model, not a curated record. The transcript is spliced from 4 exons.
AUUCAACUAGACUUGGAGAGACUGGAAAAGAUCGUUGAAAAGCAUCUCUAAAGAGAACUACACCACAAAUACCAACCCUGAUGGGCCAGGAUGGCUUGGAAGCCAAACAAAAAUAAGUAGUAUCAAUGAUAAAUGAGGUUAAGGAGGUCAGUGUGGAGCAGAGACUGAACCUGGAGGAUAUAUCAGAUUUGGAAUGAGGCUGGACAGGAGUGAUGACAUCUGCCCUCCCAGGCCCCAGAAUACCAGUAUCACUUAAGGAGAUAAUGCCCCCAGGUGCCUGGCUUCCAACCACAAGCUGCGGGAACAAACCAGCUGGAACAGGUGCUGGUAUAAGGAGGUCAAAAGAUGUACUGUGAAGGAGAGCCUACCUACCAUCCCUCCUGGGGCUCAGCACCCUUCUGGGGGCCGUCAGAACAAGCAGGCCCUGAAAAAGGAAGAGGACUCCAAAUCAGAGAGAGCCUUCUCCAAAUAAUACUCAGGGAGUACAAACUUUCUCUCCCAACCCUGACUGAGACCCAGAUCCCAUACAGCAAAGAGGAGCCAUUCCAUAAAACACAGGCCCUAUUCUGCUCCAAGCCAUCUUUCAACCCAAUCAAGGUACCUGCUUGGUAUAAUUUUUCAGGAGAUCCCCAAGCAGAGCUCCCAACUUAAGCAAAAAGAAGCCCAAUUCAAAGGUGUCCCCUCGCUACUUAGAGCACCACCCCUCUCCUGUAGCUACACAGACAGUGACUCUGAUACCAGUCAGUUGCCAGAAAACAUCAGGACAAAGCAUUAGGAUCUGCGUUGAAAGGACAAGUCCUGUUAUAAAUCUGUAAACUGAACAUCCUGCUGUACGUCACACUCCUGUCUCUGAAGAGCACGAUUGUAAGACGUGCCAUGAAUUUGACUUUCCAGCUCACAGAACUGACGUGAGAUGCUAAGUCGUGAUCCUCCACCCAAGA